This 403-nucleotide ribosomal RNA is filed under the name uncultured bacterium. RNAcentral's name for it is "partial 16S ribosomal RNA". It matches the Rfam family "Bacterial small subunit ribosomal RNA", at positions 29 to 526 of the family's 1533-position model. The record is from RNAcentral.
AUUGAACGCUGGCGGCAGGCCUAACACAUGCAAGUCGAGCGAGCGGCGGACGGGUGAGUAAUGUAUGGGGACUGCCCGAUAGAGGGGGAUAACUACUGGAAACGGUGGCUAAUACCGCAUACUAUCGGAUAACCCAUAUGGGAUUAGCUAGUAGGGGGGGUAAAGGCUCACCUAGGCGACGAUCUCUAGCUGGUCUGAGAGGAUGAUGAGCCACACUGGGACGGAGACACGGCCAAGCCGCCUACGGAGGAAGCAGUGGGGAAAAUUGCACAAUGGGCGAAAGCCGGAUGCAGCCAGGCCGCGGGUAUGAAGAGGGCCUUAGGGUUGUAAAGUACUUUCAGCGGGGAGGCGUUACCCGAAGAAGAAGCACCGGCUAACUCCGUGCCAGCAGCCGCGGUAAUUC